UACAGAGGGUGCAAGCGUUGUUCGGAAUUAUUGGGCGUAAAGGGCUCGUAGGCGGUUUGUCGCGUCGGGAGUGAAAUCCACUGGCUUAACUGGUGGCUUGCUUUCGAUACGGGCAGACUGGAGGUAUGCAGGGGAGAACGGAAUUCCUGGUGUAGCGGUGAAAUGCGCAGAUAUCAGGAGGAACACCGGUGGCGAAGGCGGCCAGCUGGCGCUGACCUGACGCUGAGGCGCGAAGGCAUGGGGAGCGAACGGG
RNAcentral lists this ribosomal RNA (253 nucleotides) under uncultured bacterium. RNAcentral's name for it is "partial 16S ribosomal RNA". It matches the Rfam family "Bacterial small subunit ribosomal RNA", at positions 524 to 776 of the family's 1533-position model. The record is from RNAcentral.